AUGAACUGGAAUGAAGGGAAACCCGCCCUGCCAGUGAGUCCUGGGCACCCAACUGGCCGCCUUAAAUAUCACUUAAGAGUCUUCACAGCCCCUGCUCACGCUCCCCACUCAGUGUGGCCCUUGAGGCCUGGUCUGAAUCCUUGGCCCUGCCCAUCCAUACCCCUGGCCUUGACUGAUUGGUCCAGGAAUGCCUGCAUGCUCCAAGCCACCCAAUCAGAUCCUUUGAGAAUUGUGGACCUGCCUGUCAACCCACUCAGGAUGAUCUCUGACCUAAGAACAGGGUAGGAUGACUCAACUGACCGCUACCUCCACCCCAGCUGUGGACCACCUGGUCAAAUAAUCAUAAACUACAGACAUCUUGACUUCUGAAACUACAAUUAAUUAAGAAAUGCUACAGAACCAUCACUGAAAGUGAAAGUCGCUCAGUCAUGUCCGGCUCUUUGCUAUCUCAUGGACUAUACAGUCUAUGGAAUUCUCCAGGCUAGAAUAGUGGAGUGGGUAGCCUUUCCCUUCUACAGAGGAUCGUCCCAACCCAGAAAUCCAACCCAGAUCUCCCACAUUGGAGGUGGAUUCUUUACCAGCUGAACCACAAAGAACCUUCACUAGGCAAUGAUUAAUCCCAGCCUCUUUGUUCUUCUGCUUUAAAAAGAAUCCCUAACUCAAAGACCAUGUUGGGGUGGAUUUGAGUCUUGUCUCUCCCUCCUUCUUGAUGCCCUGAAAUAAACCCUUACUUUGCUGCAAACUUCUCUGUCAGAGUUUGUCUUUCUGCAUUGCUGACACACAAGCCCUUUGCUCAGUUUCAGAAAUGUGCUUUGCAAAGGACUUUAUUAAACUUGGGCUGUCCAAGGGUGUGCCAGCAAAUAUUUGACAACUGGUUCUUCAGAAAUCCAAAUGUAUACAUUAUAUACAUAUACACAUGUUCAUGUUUGUUAUAAAUUUUACUGAUGAAAUGGAUGUGCAGAACACAAUGUGCAAAUCACGCAAUGGAGGAACUCUUGAUUGUAAAUUCCAUGUAGUCAAUGGAUUCUCUAGGUUUUCAUUUUUGCUGAACUCCUGUAUGUCUAGUUAAUCUGUGGUUGUAAUUCAACCGCCGUUUGAAAUGGUGUUGUUUUUUAGUCUGCUGGGCUAACUCUCCUCCCAAUAAAUUUAUUGUCAUUAAAUCUGAUAUGUGAUCUACUGUUACACUACUCUCUCUCAGUUCAGUUCAGUUCAGUUGCUCAGUUGUGUCUGACUCUUUGCGAC
RNAcentral lists this long non-coding RNA (1242 nucleotides) under Capra hircus (goat). RNAcentral describes it as "lncRNA (ENSCHIG00010003908.1)". Lineage: Eukaryota; Metazoa; Chordata; Mammalia; Artiodactyla; Bovidae. The record is from RNAcentral.